This is a long non-coding RNA of Gallus gallus (chicken), 1855 nucleotides long. RefSeq lists it as uncharacterized. The transcript is spliced from 4 exons. The record is from RefSeq and is a predicted model, not a curated record. Lineage: Eukaryota; Metazoa; Chordata; Aves; Galliformes; Phasianidae.
UCCCAGAGGUCUUCUGAAGGUAAGCAAUUUCUUUUCUUUGUUUCUGUGUGUUUGUGUGUGGCUGUUGCAUGUUAGCAACUUGCUGUAGUCUAGGACUUUGCUGCUCUGCUGUUAUUGUGUUUUUCACUGCAUCACAGCAUUGCACCCACCUUCUGUUUUCCCACUCCAUUUUUUCUUCUUUCUAUCCUGUUUAUAGUACUACUCUUGGAUGUGUUAGCAGUCAAGAUAAAGAUCAAUGCAAAUACUAAAGCAUCCAUGUGUUUUGAUUUUUUUUUUAUCAAGCAAAAUGUUUAUUUCUGUAACUAAUUUUAGUUGUUUCCUUCAUCAUAUUCUCAGUUAUGGUAUGUUGACAAAGUGGGGACAUAUGUGGUUUGAGGACACCCAUGCAGGUACUCAACAAGGCACCUUCAAUGUGGGGGCAGUUGAGUUGCCUGUCUGUACUGCAUUGUGACAGCUGUUGUUUGAAGGCUUCCUGGCCCACCCUUUUCUACUGUGGGCUGGUGCUUUUCACCAGAUUACACUUACUUUGUAAUGCAUCACCAUUGAUCUCUCUCUCUCACCCAUCUCUCAGGGCCAUGAGAGCUGUGUUCUUGCAGUUGCACUGUGCAACUUAGCCUGGAAAGCUGCUAGAUAAUGCAACUGCAGCUUUAUUUUUGAAUGUGACAAGGAGGGUUGAAAAGGAUAUUAAACCGUAGGCUUUAGACCUUUAAGCCAGAUUGUAGCUGACUCGGGUCAGAAUGGGGGUGAACAAGUAUGUUUUUCCCAUACUGUGGUAUGUGACUUCACUGUGCUGCAUCAGAGAAGUGGUCCCUGGAUGCCCCGUGUCCAAGCAGCACAGAACAGCUUCCAUAGCAGCAACUGAUCAGCUAGUGUUCAUCCCUGCAAUUAAUAACAUUGUCAACCCUGCUGAUAAUGUUAUUAAUCACAGGGUGGCAGUGCAUAAAUGUUUCAGCCUAAUGAGCAUUCAAAAUUCUAAUGUCCUCAGUGCUGUCCAAUCAUGAAUGCACACUUCCUACCUGAAAUUAUUUCCAAUAGCUCUGCUGGAGUAUUGGAUUGCUAAGUAACAUCUAUAUUUAUACUUACUGCUUUUGUUUAUUUCAGGUAGCAUUUUUGGAGAGCCAGGUGUUACACUCUUUCCAGGAAUCAGUCUUCCUGAGAGAGUGGGCUCCAUUAUGUUCAGGAGCAGAAUGAAAAUGAAAUCAUCAUUAGUCGGAUUGAUUCGGUGUCUGAAUACACAUUGUACCAUGAGGAUCCUCUUACCCUGAGCCAAAGUCUGUCAAAGUCAAUUCCAACAGCUGAUGAGGCCCUUCAGGAUAGGUCAGUUUUUUCCUUGAAAUCCCAUCAUGGCAACUUCUGCAUUUGAUGAGUAUUACCAGCACAGAUAGACGCACCAUGGAGGGAAUCCCAGCCACACAGAAAAAAUGUAAUUCCUCUGCCAUGAUCAUGUGAAUGCUUUCUCCCUUUCACUUCUUAUCAGCACCUCAGGCUCCCAUUCCAUAGAAGCCUCUUUUCUGCAUGCUUAGUCACUGCUUCUUCCUCCCAGAGUAAAACCUACCUACAUUUUUCUUGUUACGGUGUUUGAGAGGGCCAUGAACCAACUCUCCAGCUUGCUCUGUGGGAACAUUUUGUGCCUUUUCACUUCUCUUCUGCAUUAGGGAGUACGCAGUGAAGGACUUGAGAGGCCAGGGGAGGUCAGGAUAAAGUUUCGUGCACCCUUUGCACCGCUCGUGUACUAAAAGCAAGGUUGUUGUUGGUUGGUUGGUUGGUUGGUUGGGUUUUUUUUUUAGCAAAGGGCUGUACUCAGUAUGCAACGGUUUCAGUGCAGCUUUAGAAAUUGCGCUUCGCCGACGUCGCA